Molecule: ribosomal RNA, 867 nt
Filed under: uncultured archaeon
Lineage: Archaea
Description: bacterial SSU rRNA
Rfam family: Archaeal small subunit ribosomal RNA
Source: RNAcentral
UUCCGGUUGAUCCUGCCGGACCUGACUGCUAUCGGAUUGAUACUAAGCCAUGCGAGUCAUUGUAGCAAUACAAGGCAUACGGCUCAGUAACGCGUAGUCAACCUAACCUAUGGACGGGGAUAACCUCGGGAAACUGAGAAUAAUGCCCGAUAGAACACUAUACCUGGAAUGGUUUGCGUUCCAAAUGAUUUAUCGCCGUAGGGUGGGACUGCGGCCUAUCAGUUCGUUGGUGAGGUAAUGGCCCACCAAGACUAUUACAGGUACGGGCUCUGAGAGGAGUAGCCCGGAGAUGGGUACUGAGACACGGACCCAGGCCCUAUGGGGCGCAGCAGGCGAGAAAACUUUGCAAUGUGCGAAAGCACGACAAGGUUAAUCCGAGUGGUUUCUGCUAAAGGAACCUUUUGUUAGUCCUAGAACCACUAACGAAUAAGGGGUGGGCAAGUUCUGGUGUCAGCCGCCGCGGUAAAACCAGCACCUCAAGUGGUCAGGAUGAUUAUUGGGCCUAAAGCAUCCGUAGCCGGCUCUGUAAGUUUUCGGUUAAAUCUGUACGCUUAACGCACAGGCUGCCGGGAAUACUGCAGAGCUAGGGAGUGGGAGAGGUAGACGGUACUCGGUAGGAAGGGGUAAAAUCCUUUGAUCUAUUGAUGACCACCUGUGGCGAAGGCGGUCUACCAGAACACGUCCGACGGUGAGGGAUGAAAGCUGGGGGAGCAAACCGGAUUAGAUACCCGGGUAGUCCCAGCUGUAAACGAUGCGGGCUAGCUGUUGGGAUGGCUACGAGCCAUCUCGGUGGCGCAGGGAAACCGUUUAGCCCGCCGCCUGGGGGAGUACGAUCGCAAGAUUGAAACUUAAAGGAUUUGGCGGGGG